UUUCUCUCUCUCUCUCUCUUAGGGGCGCCGGAAUGGAGGGGGGUUGGCCCCAAUUGUCAACCAAGAGAUGGGGGCAAAGGGGCGGGGCCAAAAUCUAUAAGAAACCCUUUUCCUAAUUAAAUUUUAAUAAAAAAUUGCAUAAUUGGAUGAAAAAAAAAAUUAAUAAUAGUAAAGGAAAGAGAGAGAACCCUAUUAGCAAAAGGAAAGUGAACGUAAAGGUACGUAGGAGGAAAACUAAACGAGUACCCGGAUAUCCGAAGGUAGUUCCAUUUCCUUCUUGCGUUCCCAAAAUGCUGAGAAGAAAGCCCAGCAAGAUCCAACUCCAGAUCGAAGACAAAGAAGAGCUCGACGAAGCCCGCAAACAUACCGCCGCAGCCGCCGCCACCACUUCCACAACCGCCGCCGCCACUGGAGCAGCCACUCUUCUCCAUCAACUCGACCGCCACUCCAAAGACCCUUCCGUCCCCCACCGCAUCGGCCUUUCCUCCCAAUAAUCUUAAAAAGGCCCCCCAAUAUAGCAGUCAAUAUCUUUUCUUUCUUUUUCCUUUAUUUGUAUUUUCUCGGAACUCAAGCAGCUUUUUCAUGGAGGUCAAGGUUAAUCUGCGGCUUCCAGACACGGGUUCUGUCACCGAUGUUCUGGCCCCGUUCCAGGAGGAACCCCUCUUCGACAGCCUGGACAGUCCAAGUUCGCGUUUUUUGGGUCCGGGAAGCUGCCGUAGCAAAGGUUAUUAGCUGCCAGUGGUGUAAAAGAUCUCCUGGUGAUAAAGCAAAGCUUGGACUCGGACACCUUAAAGGAAUGGCUGUUCUCGCCCCCUGAAGGCUGAAGCAGCUUACUCCAGAAAGUGAGAAACUCUCCAAGUUUGUAAUAAGGCCAUAUUUUAUAUAAUGUCACCAGCUUUUCUUGUAAACUCGAUGAAGAAAUUCACCGACUUUGGUUGUUUCUCCUCAUUGAUUGUUGGCAUUCAUCAA
Carya illinoinensis is the source of this 969-nucleotide RNA transcript. RefSeq lists it as uncharacterized. The record is from RefSeq and is a predicted model, not a curated record. NCBI's taxonomy places the organism in Eukaryota, Viridiplantae, Streptophyta, Magnoliopsida, Fagales, Juglandaceae. The transcript is spliced from 2 exons.